Molecule: transfer RNA, 68 nt
Filed under: Bos taurus (domestic cattle)
Lineage: Eukaryota; Metazoa; Chordata; Mammalia; Artiodactyla; Bovidae
Rfam family: tRNA
About the family: Transfer RNA (tRNA) molecules are approximately 80 nucleotides in length. Their secondary structure includes four short double-helical elements and three loops (D, anti-codon, and T loops).
Source: Rfam by way of RNAcentral
CCAGGUGGCUCAGUGGUAAAGCAUCCGCCUGCAAUGCAGGAGACCCGGGUUUGAUCCCUGGGUCUGGA